RNAcentral lists this ribosomal RNA (261 nucleotides) under uncultured archaeon. RNAcentral's name for it is "partial 16S ribosomal RNA". It matches the Rfam family "Archaeal small subunit ribosomal RNA", at positions 748 to 1008 of the family's 1478-position model. The record is from RNAcentral.
CAGCCGUAAACAAUGUGCGUUAGGUGUGUCGGUAACCACGCGUUACUGAUGCGCCGAAGAGAAAUCGUGAAACGCACCACCUGGGAAGUACGGUCGCAAGGCUGGAACUUAAAGGAAUUGGCGGGGGAGCACCACAACAGGUGGAGCCUGCGGUUUAAUUGGAUUCAACGCCGGACAUCUCACCGGAUAAGACAGCUGAAUGAUUGUCAAUCUGAAGGUUUUACAUGACUAGCUGAGAGGAGGUGCAUGGCGUCAGUGACU